RNAcentral lists this long non-coding RNA (2246 nucleotides) under Salvia miltiorrhiza (redroot sage). RNAcentral describes it as "long non-coding RNA (SMIL_LNC002510)". The record is from RNAcentral. Lineage: Eukaryota; Viridiplantae; Streptophyta; Magnoliopsida; Lamiales; Lamiaceae.
UGAAAUAUUUCGUUUACCCGCCCUGUAUUGCGCCAAAAACUCCUUCAAAAAAAUGAAGGACGGGCGGUUUCGAUGUAGAAGAUGAGAGCAACCAUCAUGAAGUACUAUCUAGCAACAUAGAAACAAACCCUAGCACCACCACUUCAAGCUGCAUAUUGUUUCAUCAAAUUCACCCCAAACCCACCAAUCAAACCCGAAGCUAAUCCCGCAAACCAACCCAAAUAAGCAAAUUCCCAAUACGCGAAUACCCUGUUCCACUAAAACCAGACAAACAAUCCCCCGGGGAAAACUUUCUAGCAGAUUGGAUGGAGCGGCGAAGAUGAAGAUUUAGAAUAAAAUAUUGUGGAGAAAUAUUUUCAGGCAACUUAGGCUUUGGGAAAAUGUUUGGAGGCGUAUUCUGGUUAUUUUCAGGCAAUUAGAGAAGUGGCGCCAACGGUGAAGCAGUUGUUGGUAGAGAAGGUAAAUUGUUUUAAGGAGAACUUUUUUCCUUUUAUGUCAUUUAGAAUUUUGAGAGGUGGGGGUCAGUGUAGCUAAAGGGAAUCGGGUGUUGGAAUGGAUUUCGCUGUAAUUUACAUUUGGAUUGAAUUUAUAUUUGCUACAUUCCACAUACUUGACAUUAUCAGUAAUCAUGGUAUUGUGUUUAUGAUGCUUCUUAUGGUUUAAGCACUUGAAUGUGCCGCUUUUUUUUUAACUAAAAGUAUCUUUCUAUCCUCAUAUUUCACAUAUUGAGAGAAAUUAUAUCACAUAGCGAUCAGAAGAGAGACACUGCUUCAUUUUUGUUAGAGGUAUAUCAAUUUAUGUUAGAUACAUGAUAUGGUGUCCUGCAGUUGUAGUUGAUAGUAGUUAUAACAUCUAAUUUUAUAGAAGUCUUGUGACUUGGUAAGCUGUUUAAUGUGGAAAAUUUGUGUAUAAAUUCUGAAUUUCAGGAAAAGACAAUCUUGAAGAAAUUGACUAGCCAACUCCUUAUAUUUUGAUGCUCAGAUUUCUCAAGGCUGCUCAAUUUGACACAAAGGUAUAGGAUCAAGUAAAAUUUGUGAAAUAUUGUACACUUUGUUGGAGAUUAUGACUUGAUACUGUGAAUUUUUCUUUCUAAGACUUUGAGUAUGUUUGUGUAUCUUUAAAUGUAUAUGUAUUUAAAAUACCAGCUGCUAAGUAUGCUUUGGUUUUUCUAAAUUUAGCUACACUGAAUAAGAGGGUGCUUCUAAUUUCUUCUGACAUUUUAAAACAUGACAUUUUUACUUCAGACUUUGAUCUUUGAUAACUAUUAGUAACCUAAAGAUAUCCCUACAUCAUAUAUGCAUACACAGUAUGGAAAAGUAUACAUUUCAAGCACUGGUAAGUAACUUUUCAGUUUCUUAAAUAAGCUUUUCAAUAUUAAUGCGUUGAUGAUGAUUCCUGGAAGUUUGAAAUAGGAUACUUGCACUCUGAUAUGAUUUAUAUGCAAGUAUGAGUAUUUAUGUCUGCUGCAAGUCAGACUCUUUCAUUGUUUGCUUCAUGGAUAUGCAUAUUUAUUAAUUUUGUUUCUUUUACUUUCUAUUAGGCCGUAGAUGUCUAUAAAUCAUAAAUGGGUUAGCACUUUCUAAUUCCUGAUGCUCUUAACGUAUUACAUUAACUUUUGACUUAUGCGUGGUCUAUUUCUACUUAAGGUUGGAUGAUGGAUGGAUCAACAAAUAGUUUGACCAAUUUUAUACAAUCUAACAAUAAGUUUGCUAAAUAAAGAACUAGAAUAUUAGUUAGAUUUUACAUUUCUUACUCUAGUAGAGUUUAUGUAUUGUGCUUUUAUUGCAUAGAGAUGAAGUUUAUAAUCAUUUCAUUGCCAAUAGGAUUGAUUCAGAAUAAGAAAAACAGAAAGAGAAAUACAAGCAAUGAAAUUUAACUGAAAUGAAUGACUGAGUUUCUAGAUCAAGAUUUCUCUCGUGAAAUGCAUAGUGAAAUCCUCUGCUAACAUUCCUUUUCCCCACUUUGACUUUUAUUUACUUUUCAACUAUAAAUAUUGAGUCUGCAUAAUGAUAUUAAUGUUUUAUUUUCUAGAGUGGUUCCUCUUUGAUGACAUAUUAUUAUUUUCUCAAUUAUAUAUUGAACAGAUGUUGGGUUGCUAUAAUUUUAAAAAGUGUGAAUUAUUUGUUUGUAUCUUACCAUGUGUAUUCUAAUAAUGUUGUGUUUCUAUGAUUUUAACAGGAAUAAAGGAUGGAAUUGUCAAUAUGAAGUUAACCAAUAAUUGCAAUGUACGUUGUUGCUUGUGGUGA